Molecule: ribosomal RNA, 410 nt
Filed under: Veillonellaceae bacterium oral taxon 155
Lineage: Bacteria; Bacillati; Bacillota; Negativicutes; Veillonellales; Veillonellaceae
Description: bacterial SSU rRNA
Rfam family: Bacterial small subunit ribosomal RNA
Source: RNAcentral
GACGAACGCUGGCGGCGUGCUUAACACAUGCAAGUCGAACGGAGCUAUUUAUUUCGGUAAAUCGCUUAGUGGCAAACGGGUGAGUAACGCGUAGGCAACCUGCCCUCAGGAUGGGGACAACGGCUCGAAAGAGCCGCUAAUACCGAAUGACGUAACUCUUCCACAUGGAAGAGAUACUAAAGAUGGGUCAAACCAUCGCCUAAGGAUGGGCCUGCGUCUGAUUAGCCAGUUGGUGAGGUAACGGCUCACCAAAGCGACGAUCAGUAGCCGGUCUGAGAGGAUGAACGGCCACAAUGGGACUGAGACACGGCCCAUACUCCUACGGGAGGCAGCAGUGGGGAAUCUUCCGCAAUGGGCGAAAGCCUGACGGGAGCAAACGCCGCGUGAGUGAAGAAAGGUCUUUCGGAUCG